CCUACGGGUUGCAGCAGUGGGGAAUUUUCCGCAAUGGGCGAAAGCCUGACGGAGCAAUGCCGCGUGGAGGUAGAAGGCCCACGGGUCGUGAACUUCUUUUCCCGGAGAAGAAGCAAUGACGGUAUCUGGGGAAGAAGCAUCGGCUAACUCUGUGCCAGCAGCAGCGGUAAUACAGAGGAUGCAAGCGUUAUCCGGAAUGAUUGGGCGUAAAGCGUCUGUAGGUGGCUUUUUAAGUCCGCCGUCAAUCCCAGGGCUCAAACCUGGACAGGCGGUGGACACUACCAAGCUGGAGUACGGUAGGGGCAAAGGGACUUUCCGGUGGAGCGGUGAAAUGCGUAGAGAUCGGAAAGAACACCAACGGCUAAAGCACUCUGCUGGGCCGACACUGACACUGAGAGACGAAAGCUAGGGGAGCGAAUGGGAUUAGAUACCCGUGUAGUC
RNAcentral lists this ribosomal RNA (441 nucleotides) under uncultured bacterium. Its description in RNAcentral is "bacterial SSU rRNA". It matches the Rfam family "Bacterial small subunit ribosomal RNA", at positions 338 to 795 of the family's 1533-position model. The record is from RNAcentral.